AAUUUUGGACAAUGGGCGCAAGCCUGAUCCAGCCAUGCCGCGUGAGUGAAGAAGGCCUUCGGGUUGUAAAGCUCUUUCGGACGGAAAGAAAUCGCGCAGGCUAAUACCCUGCGCGGAUGACGGUACCUUCAUAACAAGCACCGUCUAACUACGUGCCAGCAGCCGCGGUAAUACGUAUGGUGCGAGCGUUAAUCGGAAUUACUGGGCUUAUAGCGUGCGCAGGAGGUUGAUUAAGACAGGCGUGAAAUCCCCGGGAUUAAGCUGGGAACUGCGAUUGUGACUGGGCAGAUAGAGUACGGCAGAGGGGGGUGGAAUUACACGUGUAGCAAUGAAAUGCGUAGAGAUGUGGAGGAACACCGAUGGCGAAGGCAGCACCCUGAGACGAUACUGACGCUCAUGCACGAAAGCGUGGGUAGCAAACAGG
RNAcentral lists this ribosomal RNA (424 nucleotides) under uncultured bacterium. Its description in RNAcentral is "partial 16S ribosomal RNA". It matches the Rfam family "Bacterial small subunit ribosomal RNA", at positions 360 to 776 of the family's 1533-position model. The record is from RNAcentral.